GCCGGGCGCGGUGGCUCACGCCUGUAAUCCCAGCACCUUGGGAGGCCGAGACGGGCGGAUCACCUGAGGUCAGGAGUUCAAGACCAGCCUGGCCAACAUGGUGAAACCCCGUCUCGA
This is a non-coding RNA of Gorilla gorilla gorilla (western lowland gorilla), 117 nucleotides long. It matches the Rfam family "Metazoan signal recognition particle RNA". From Rfam's summary of the family: The signal recognition particle (SRP) is a universally conserved ribonucleoprotein. It is involved in the co-translational targeting of proteins to membranes. Lineage: Eukaryota; Metazoa; Chordata; Mammalia; Primates; Hominidae. The record is from Rfam.